ACGGGUGAGUAAUGCUUAUCUUACCUGCCAUUUAGUGGGGGAUAAAAUUCCGCAUAUUAUGAGUAAUCAUGAAAGGGCUUUCGGGCUCGCUAAUUGAUGGGGAUAAGUCGUAUUAGUUAGUUGGUGGGGUAAUGGCCUACCAAGACAAUGAUGCGUAGCCAGUCUGAGAGGAUGAAUGGCCACAAAGGAACUGAGACACGGUUCUUACUCCUAUUGAGGAGGCAGCAGUGGGGAAUAUUCUGCAAUGGGGGAAACCCUGACAGAGCAAUACUACGUGAAGGAGGAAGGUCUACGGAUUGUAAACUUCUUUACUUAAAUGUACUAACCGCAAGGUUUUGCAUUUGAGCAAAAAGCGACGACUAACUAUGUGCCAGCAGUCGCGGUAAGACAUAGGUCGCGAACGUUAUCCGGAAUUAUUGGGCGUAAAGGAUGCGUAGAUGGUUCAGUAAGUUACUGGUGGGAAAUCGAGGCCUAACCUCGUGGAAGUCAGUAAUACUGUUGAACUUGAGUGCAGGAGAGGUUAACGGAACUUCAUGUGGAGCGGUAAAAUGCGUAGAUAUAUGAAAGAACAUCAAUAUAGCGAAGGCAGUUAACUAUUCUGCUACUGACAUUGAGGCAUGAAAGCGUGGGGAGCAAAACGGAUUAGAUACCCGUGUAGUCCACGCCCUAAACGAUGAGUGCUAGAUAUUGGGAACUUGAUUCUCAGUGUCGCUAGGUAACCCGGUAAGCACUCCGCCUGGGGAGUACGCUCGCAAGAGUGAAACUUAAAGGAAUUGACGGGGACUCGCACAAGCAGUGGAGCAUGUGGUUUAAUCCGAUACAACGCGUAGAACCUUACCAAGGCUUGACAUGUUCGGCAAAACUGUGGAAACACAGCGGAGGUUAUCCGGACACAGGUGCUGCAUGGCCGUCGUCAGUUCGUGCCGUGAGGUGUAUGGUUAAGUCCUAUAACGAACGCAACCCUUGGGCUUAGUUGCCAGCAUUAAGUUGGGGACUCUAAGCCGACUGCCUGAGUAAUCAGGAGGAAGGAAAGGAUGACGUCUGGUCGUC
This 1050-nucleotide ribosomal RNA is filed under the name uncultured bacterium. Its description in RNAcentral is "bacterial SSU rRNA". It matches the Rfam family "Bacterial small subunit ribosomal RNA", at positions 102 to 1194 of the family's 1533-position model. The record is from RNAcentral.